Nymphaea colorata (pocket water lily) is the source of this 2929-nucleotide long non-coding RNA. RefSeq lists it as uncharacterized. The record is from RefSeq and is a predicted model, not a curated record. The transcript has 2 exons. Lineage: Eukaryota; Viridiplantae; Streptophyta; Magnoliopsida; Nymphaeales; Nymphaeaceae.
UCAUCUCUCCUCUACCACCUCUCUUCUCCACUGCUAGCAAUGCUUACUGGCCAACGAUGCCGCUCGACGGUGCUUAGGUAUGUCGUCUGACGGCUGUCACAUGGGUUUUAGUGUGUCACCGUUUGGUCAGGAGGAUGGGGGAAGGAAACAAGGAGGGGGUUUCUUUCUUGGCACAGCCACCACACGGUGGCUCCCUUCCCCUCCCAGGUGCCGCCUGAUAGCCAGCCACCGUGUAACAGCACCUGGGAGGAGGAGGAAGAUGUCGUCUGGUGGUGGGGGAAGGAAACGCCCUCUCCACGUUCGUUUAUUUGAACGUGGAGAGGGAUGGGGAUAGGGUUUCCUUCCUCAACAGCCAGACGACAGCAUCCCUUCCCACCCAUGCACCUCCCGACGAUGCCUUCGUCUGGUGGCACCUGGGAGGGGAGGGAUGCUACCGUCCAGCUGCUGGGGAAGGAAAACCUUCCGUCAUUUUCCUCCCCAUGUUUGUUGCUUUUGAACAUGGAGAAGGGGAGGAGUUUCUCUGCCUUCCAUGGGCCGACAGUUUGGGCACCGGCAUCGGCCGGGGUAGGAGUAGAUGCCCCUCCACUUUCCUCUUAUCGUUAAGGAAGAAAGGGGAAGGGUUCUGUUACAGGUCUACCUAAAGCCAUGUCGAGAAGUGCGGAGGAUAUGGCUGAUGGCGACGAGCGCACUAUUGAGAGGUCUAGAGAGAUGCGGCCAGCCAGCGUGAAGACCCUUGGCACCUUCGAAAAGCAUGUCUUAGCGCAUUGUGAGGCUAAGGCAUUGCAAGGCCUUAGUGCACUGUUGGACAGGAGAAUACCAUAUAGCGGCCGAACACCUAGGGAGGCUAAGGAGGUCGACGUUGCACACCAGGCGUUGGCCACACCGUCGAGGUAUUUUGUUGUGAGGCUAACAGAAUGCUUAGCCUAUGUGCAGGAGCAACUUCGGCUCAAAGAAAGGUUAUCCACGGCCAGCAUGGACAGCGCGCACAACCAACCGAGGAGGUCGAAGUGGGUGAUGUCGUCCGUACUCAUUGUGACGUUAAACUCCUCACGAUGGCGAAAACUAGCAAGGACGCACCGAGUCCUUCUUGACCACACCCGACGGCUCAGACGGAGGGCAGCUUAGUCAAAUCGGCUCAGGACGACCAGGACAGUACAUCGGGAACAGGUUCAACGAAACAAGGACAAACUGAUUCGGGACAAGGGGACAGUUUAGGGACGAACUGGAGAGGACAGGAACAAGCAGGACGGUUCUGGACGAGGGAACCGAGUCAGCCAUGGUGAAGGCCACCUAGACCAAGUCCAGGUGAAGUGGGUUUGGACCCAGCUAGAGCAUCACGAUUGGGAGUUAGCGUAGGCUUGCGUUCAUACCGAACUCAAUAAGAGUUGACCAACUCGGUCGAUUUAGUCAUUGUACAUAGACUACUUUGUUUUGUUUUGACUCAGUUUUUGUAUCGUCUCGGGACGAGACGUCGGCACGAACCAGAACGUUUUCCUUAUAAAAGGAAAGUGAUGUUACCCUAAUCUUUAUGUCUUAAUGAAGUUUCUUGGGAUCUGUGGAGUUUGAAAGUCUGCGAGCCUUCUUCUCCCGCGAAAAACUCCAACCAUUGUGGCUCUGUAGCGCCGUGUCCAAAACCUCAACGGAGGUCGGUUUUCCGACAGGCGUUCGACUAGGUGAACUGGUUGGUGUCUUGCGCAACACUGUCGGAGGGUGCUGCUGAGAGCCAAGCAAUGUUGUCUUCCUCAUUUCCAGCGACAUAGGUCAAGCUUCUGUGCGGAUUCUUCAGCCAUAGGAGGAUCGAGAGGUGGAGCUUGGCAUUGGGCCAUUUUUCAACCAUAGGACGAUUGAGAGCUUCAGCCUCCAACUCUGAACAAGCCUGUGACGUGCUAAGGGAGAAAAUCUCAACGAGUUUCCAGCUGAGAUCAGAUCGUGAUCUGAACUUUUGGGCGUCUAAUCCUUGGUGUCUCAGCAGCCUACAAUCCAAAUUUCAGGCUAUUUGGAGGUCGGAGUGAUUUUUGGCGAAUUUUGGAGUGGAGGUCUACCCUGUGAACAGCUACUGGCCUCCCCUAUUCUGCAACCGAACCAGAACAGAGCAUACGACUGCGACAGAAUUGAACCUUGGAGUGCAUCGCGAUCCGUGUAGGGAACUCCGUUGCAGCCAAACUUUGGAGCGUCCCUUCAUAUCUAUCCCAAGGUGUUGUGGUCCAAUUUUCAGGUCAAUCGGACUCACGGUUGAUUUUUGGUGAAUUUUUGAGUGUGGAGCAAGCCUUUGAAGACAAAACCAAACCUUCGAGAGGGAUCCUCGCCUGCCUCCCCAUCCUGUGCAUCAGUUGGUGUAAAACCCAACAUCUGGAGGAGGAGCUAGGUGCUAUAUCUGCUCAAUAGUGCGCCUACACCGGUGUCAAUCGGUGCUUGCCUUACCUCAUUUCACAUCUGCUGCUGGGGUUUACCUGCCUUUCUGGUGAUGUGCUUCCUCCUGAGGUUUUUGUGCUUUAUACCUUGUCAUCUUGGUAAUUUCGGUGUUCUUGUUGGAGGCUAUCUUGCAGUGGGAAGCUGGAAGCUGAACCGCCAGUGGAAAGGAGCUUGGACAACCCUGUUCGUGUUCAGUUAGGAGACAUAGCUUCGGGCUAAGCGGCGCUUGCUUCCCCUUAAUAUCAUCAUCAUUCAAUAGGGGUUAAACUAAGUCAUAGUGAAGUCUCCUAACGAUAUUUGGAAAUACACUGUUUUCCGAUUAUUUGGAUUGUGACUAUCUCAGCUUGUUUUCUGGUGGUUCAUACCGAGGAGAAGGAGCAGCUGCAACAACCGUGAGCUAAGCUGAUCCGAGGGAGAAGAAGGGUGUUUGUUGUCACCUUCUCAGCGAUUGCUCUCCCCUAAUACGUCAAGCACACUUGGGGUUAUCAAUAAUACAUCUAAAUGCAUUCCCUUCUUC